CAGUGUUACAGCUCUUUUAGAAUUUGUCUAGCAGGCUUUCCGGUUCCUACCGGAAAGCCCCU
Small nuclear RNA from Capra hircus (goat), 62 nucleotides. Its record names the gene U7. It matches the Rfam family "U7 small nuclear RNA". From Rfam's summary of the family: Animal histone pre-mRNAs are spliced by a different mechanism than nuclear pre-mRNAs and self-splicing introns. This processing involves the U7 snRNP, which contains only one RNA species: U7. The 5' end of U7 RNA is thought to base-pair to a conserved spacer element downstream of the cleavage site in histone pre-mRNA. NCBI's taxonomy places the organism in Eukaryota, Metazoa, Chordata, Mammalia, Artiodactyla, Bovidae. The record is from Ensembl.